Long non-coding RNA from Mastomys coucha (southern multimammate mouse), 557 nucleotides. RefSeq lists it as uncharacterized. NCBI's taxonomy places the organism in Eukaryota, Metazoa, Chordata, Mammalia, Rodentia, Muridae. The transcript is spliced from 2 exons. The record is from RefSeq and is a predicted model, not a curated record.
GGUGGCUCUGUUUUAGCCUGCUCCAAAGCCGGGUCGGCCCCAGGCGUCGAGCCCUUUUCUGCUUGCUGCGCUGGCGGCCCAGCCCCAGAUUAGCAAGUGCCAAGCUUAGAGCCAGUCGGAGACGGCUGGAAGCUGCUAGUCUGAAUUUGGAGCUGGGCGAAGGAGAGCUUGGGACAGGCCGCGAUGCAGAGCCGCGCGUUUCCGCCAGACGAAGAACAGCCUCCUGGGCUCUUGACUGGCUAGCCCUGCACUCCCACCCACGCCUUGCUAACUGCGACUUUCCAUCCGUAGUUGAUUUCUUAAUCCCAAGGCUGGCGGGGGUGAGGCCAGAGCGAGCCAACGGGAAAUAACCCAGGCCACGGCUGCUUACUGGUUUUCGAAAAAGAAGAAAAUAACCUGGCGAUUCUUUUAAGCUGAAACGUCGCUACUUUCUAGAUAAUAGGAGGGAAAUUAUGGAUUCUUUUUUUGCCGUUUCAUUAUAAUUGCACAUGCAUUGAGGAAUUAAAAUUACUAACUAGUGCCAGAUUCAUAUUAAUAAAAUAGUGUGAAAGGGCAAU